RNAcentral lists this unclassified non-coding RNA (335 nucleotides) under soil metagenome. Its description in RNAcentral is "partial contains 5.8S ribosomal RNA, internal transcribed spacer 2, and large subunit ribosomal RNA". The stretch from base 1 to 120 matches the Rfam family "5.8S ribosomal RNA", at positions 35 to 154 of the family's 154-position model. The record is from RNAcentral.
GAUGAAGAACGCAACGAAAUGCGAUAAGUAAUGUGAAUUGCAGAAUUCAGUGAAUCAUCGAAUCUUUGAACGCACAUUGCGCCCGCCAGUAUUCUGGCGGGCAUGCCUGUUCGAGCGUCAUUUCAACCAUCAAGCCCCCGGCUUGUGUUGGGGACCUGCGGCUGCCGCAGGCCCUGAAAACCAGUGGCGGGCUCGCUAGUCACUCCGAGCGUAGUAAUACAUCUCGCUCAGGGCGUGCUGCGGGUUCCGGCCGUUAAAAAGCCUUAUUUACCCAAGGUUGACCUCGGAUCAGGUAGGAAGACCCGCUGAACUUAAGCAUAUCAAUAAGCGGAGGA